UAGAGGAGUGCUCGAAAGAGAGCCGUAACACAGGUGCUGCAUGGCUGUCGUCAGCUCGUGUCGUGAGAUGUUGGGUUAAGUCCCGCAACGAGCGCAACCCUUGUCAUUAGUUGCUACAUUCAGUUGGGCACUCUAAUGAGACUGCCGGUGACAAACCGGAGGAAGGUGGGGAUGACGUCAAGUCCUCAUGGCCCUUAUAGGUGGGGCUACACACGUCAUACAAUGGAUGGUACAAAGGGUCGCCAACCCGCGAGGGGGAGCCAAUCCCAUAAAGCCAUUCGUAGUCCGGAUCGCAGUCUGCAACUCGACUGCGUGAAGUCGGAAUCGCUAGUAAUCGUGGAUCAGAAUGUCACGGUGAAUACGUUCCCGGGUCUU
Molecule: ribosomal RNA, 375 nt
Filed under: uncultured Acidovorax sp.
Lineage: Bacteria; Pseudomonadati; Pseudomonadota; Betaproteobacteria; Burkholderiales; Comamonadaceae
Description: bacterial SSU rRNA
Rfam family: Bacterial small subunit ribosomal RNA
Source: RNAcentral